Molecule: ribosomal RNA, 497 nt
Filed under: uncultured bacterium
Lineage: Bacteria
Description: partial 16S ribosomal RNA
Rfam family: Bacterial small subunit ribosomal RNA
Source: RNAcentral
GAUGAACGCUGGCGGCGUGCCUAAUACAUGCAAGUCGAGCGAACAGACGAGGAGCUUGCUCCUCUGACGUUAGCGGCGGACGGGUGAGUAACACGUGGAUAACCUACCUAUAAGACUGGGAUAACUUCGGGAAACCGGAGCUAAUACCGGAUAAUAUAUUGAACCGCAUGGUUCAACAGUGAAAGACGGUCUUGCUGUCACUUAUAGAUGGAUCCGCGCCGCAUUAGCUAGUUGGUAAGGUAACGGCUUACCAAGGCAACGAUGCGUAGCCGACCUGAGAGGGUGAUCGGCCACACUGGAACUGAGACACGGUCCAGACUCCUACGGGAGGCAGCAGUAGGGAAUCUUCCGCAAUGGGCGAAAGCCUGACGGAGCAACGCCGCGUGAGUGAAGAAGGUCUUCGGAUCGUAAAACUCUGUUAUUAGGGAAGAACAAAUGUGUAAGUAACUAUGCACGUCUUGACGGUACCUAAUCAGAAAGCCACGGCUAACUACGUG